Molecule: non-coding RNA, 216 nt
Filed under: Shinella sp. WSC3-e
Lineage: Bacteria; Pseudomonadati; Pseudomonadota; Alphaproteobacteria; Hyphomicrobiales; Rhizobiaceae
Source: RNAcentral
GUGAAGUCGUCGCGUCGUGGUUCCCUGGGGCGGUAUGUCCGCUUCAGGGCUAAGAGGGAAUCCGGUGCGCCGAUCGUUCGGCAAUGCCGGGGCUGCCCCCGCAACUGUGAGCGGCGAGCCGCUGUCCAGCAAUGUCACUGAGGCGAGAGCCUUGGGAAGACGGACAGCGGCGAUGACCCGUGAGCCAGGAGACCUGCCAAGACGAAAUAACGUCCA